UAGUAUUUGAGUGUCCAAAACAUGUGUGC
Molecule: non-coding RNA, 29 nt
Filed under: Mus musculus (house mouse)
Lineage: Eukaryota; Metazoa; Chordata; Mammalia; Rodentia; Muridae
Source: RNAcentral